UUUCCGUAGGUGAACCUGCGGAAGGAUCAUUAAUGUGUUGUCAUGGGGUUCGAUGCUGGCAGCCAAUUUUUGGAUGCAUGUGCUUGCCCUAACAAUCAUCUUCCAAACACCUGUGCACAUUUUUGAGGGAGUCUUGAGUUGGUUGCCGCUCUUGGGUGAUUUUCUCACAUUCCCUUAAAUCAUUAUACGCUAUUAACAAUGUUGAACGUGCUCUGUGCCGCAAGGCUAUUAAUAUAAUACAACUUUUAACAACGGAUCUCUUGGCUCUC
RNAcentral lists this unclassified non-coding RNA (269 nucleotides) under plant metagenome. RNAcentral's name for it is "partial contains small subunit ribosomal RNA, internal transcribed spacer 1, and 5.8S ribosomal RNA". The record is from RNAcentral.